RNAcentral lists this ribosomal RNA (372 nucleotides) under uncultured organism. Its description in RNAcentral is "bacterial SSU rRNA". It matches the Rfam family "Bacterial small subunit ribosomal RNA", at positions 526 to 896 of the family's 1533-position model. The record is from RNAcentral.
CGUAGGUGGCAAGCGUUGUCCGGAAUUACUGGGUGUAAAGGGCGUGUAGGCGGGAAGAUAAGUCAGAUGUGAAAUUCCAGGGCUCAACCCUGGCGCUGCAUCUGAAACUAUUUUUCUUGAGUGCUGGAGAGGGAAGCGGAAUUCCUAGUGUAGCGGUGAAAUGCGUAGAUAUUAGGAGGAACACCAGUGGCGAAGGCGGCUUUCUGGACAGUAACUGACGCUGAGGCGCGAAAGCGUGGGGAGCAAACAGGAUUAGAUACCCUGGUAGUCCACGCUGUAAACGAUGGAUACUAGGUGUAGGAGGUAUCGACCCCUUCUGUGCCGCAGUUAACACAAUAAGUAUCCCACCUGGGGAGUACGGCCGCAAGGUUG